Long non-coding RNA from Glycine soja, 304 nucleotides. RefSeq lists it as uncharacterized. The record is from RefSeq and is a predicted model, not a curated record. The transcript is spliced from 2 exons. Lineage: Eukaryota; Viridiplantae; Streptophyta; Magnoliopsida; Fabales; Fabaceae.
UCAUUGAGGAUGAAUGGUCACAAAUCGAAAAAUAAAUGUAGCAUUCCACAAUCUAAAGGAAGUAAGCGAGCUGUUGUUUCUUCCUCGAACCUCCUUCACCAUACAAAUCAUUCCAGUGCUUCAACUCAUUCAUUACAGAUCCUUCUGAUGCAAAACUUGCAGCCUCUUGCAUUUAAUCAGAUAUCCGUAGUGCGAUGACUGGAGUAUUUUCUACGUCUUUCUUUGUUUUGUUCCAAUGGAGUCGUGUAAGGACCAUAUUACUUAUAAAAAAAUUUCAUACUUAAUUGUUUUUUAUGUAAUGUGA